AUUGAACGCUGGCGGCAGGCCUAACACAUGCAAGUCGAGCGGAUGAAGGGAGCUUGCUCCUGGAUUCCGCGGCGGACGGGUGAGUAAUGCCUAGGAAUCUGCCUGGUAGUGGGGGAUAACGUCCUGAAACGGGCGCUAAUACCGCAUACGUCCUGAGGGAGAAAGUGGGUGAGCUUCGGACCUCACGCUCUCAGAUGAGCCUAGGUCGGAUUAGCUAGUUGGUGGGGUAAAGGCCUACCAAGGCGACGAUCCGUAACUGGUCUGAGAGGAUGAUCAGUCACACUGGAACUGAGACACGGUCCAGACUCCUACGGGAGGCAGCAGUGGGGAAUAUUGGACAAUGGGCGAAAGCCUGAUCCAGCCAUGCCGCGUGUGUGAAGAAGGUCUUCGGAUUGUAAAGCACUUUAAGUGGGGAGGAAGGGCAGUAAGUUAAUACCUUGCUGUUUUGACGUUACCAACAGAAUAAGCACCGGCUAACUUCGUG
This 484-nucleotide ribosomal RNA is filed under the name uncultured bacterium. RNAcentral's name for it is "partial 16S ribosomal RNA". It matches the Rfam family "Bacterial small subunit ribosomal RNA", at positions 30 to 507 of the family's 1533-position model. The record is from RNAcentral.